Molecule: ribosomal RNA, 425 nt
Filed under: uncultured bacterium
Lineage: Bacteria
Description: partial 16S ribosomal RNA
Rfam family: Bacterial small subunit ribosomal RNA
Source: RNAcentral
GUGGGGAAUAUUGGACAAUGGGCGAAAGCCUGAUCCAGCCAUGCCGCGUGAGUGAUGAAGGCCCUAGGGUUGUAAAGCUCUUUCACCGGGGAAGAUAAUGACGGUACCCGGAGAAGAAGCCCCGGCUAACUUCGUGCCAGCAGCCGCGGUAAUACGAAGGGGGCUAGCGUUGUUCGGAAUUACUGGGCGUAAAGCGCACGUAGGCGGAUCGGUCAGUUAGGGGUGAAAUCCCAGGGCUCAACCCUGGAACUGCCUUUAAUACUGCCGGUCUAGAGUUCGAGAGAGGUGAGUGGAAUUCCGAGUGUAGAGGUGAAAUUCGUAGAUAUUCGGAGGAACACCAGUGGCGAAGGCGGCUCACUGGCUCGAUACUGACGCUGAGGUGCGAUAGCGUGGGGAGCAAACAGGAUUAGAAACCCUUGUAGUCC